This is a long non-coding RNA of Lathyrus oleraceus (garden pea), 1511 nucleotides long. RefSeq lists it as uncharacterized. NCBI's taxonomy places the organism in Eukaryota, Viridiplantae, Streptophyta, Magnoliopsida, Fabales, Fabaceae. The record is from RefSeq and is a predicted model, not a curated record. The transcript is spliced from 2 exons.
AAUGCCCAUUGAAUUGGAGGAGCAUGUUGGAAUUAUUCAGGCCUUAAGCCCAAACCGAAUGGGGCCCUGGUUCGGGUUAGGCCAUGAGUUUAAGCAGCGAACUCAAACUUCAGAAUGCGAAUCCAAUAUGCCACUUCAGGAAGAAGCUCAACACGUGACCAAACCGCUUCGCCUUCGUCUUUAGAUCUUCAUCAUCUUCGUAACGAUUUCAAAAGUCUGAUGAGUAAGCUCAGUAAUCUCCACAUUGAAACUUACAACCGGGAUCUAAGUGCAUAUUCACCUCAAAUUCGGCCAUGGAGGAAGAGGCAUCCCCACAUCUAUCACGUUCUCAACUCUUGGUUCACCUUCGGAGAGCUCCAUUGGAAUGAACACACGGUUGCAGGAAACCGUGCUGAAUCGUAUGCGCAAAGAAAGAAGUGAAAUUAAAGCGGUUUGAGAAAACUAACUGAAUCGCGACGUAGAGAGGGUUGUAAAUAAUUGUUGACGUGGGGAUGAAGUGGAUUGGGUUUUCGUGGCUUCCAUCAUGCUCACUUGGCCUAGGUUUGGCAGGCUCGAAGCAAAUCUCGCCUUGCUGGUGCGGUAUUCCUACGGGUGUCGGUUCAUUUGAUGACUUGUAAGGCUGUUUCGUGAGAUGCUUCUUAUGGCAUGUUUGGUCUGAUUACUAGUUAUGUUAGUGAAGUUUAGCUCAUCUAUUAUGCGUUGCCGGCUUGUGACAUUUUCAUUAUACGUGAAGUUGUUAUGGGACCUUUAUAGUUUCGAAUGUUCUGAACAGGAUCAAUUAGGACAUGUUAAAAUUAGAAAAUCACAAUAUACAAUGGUGCCAUGUGGUAGCUUGAAUCGGGACUGACGUAGGUUGUGUCUCAGAUUUAUUUGCUGCAAGUUAAAUGGUGAGUUGUAAUGCUGCCAUAAAACAUUAUUCUUAUGUUAACUGUCAUGCCAGUGGUGCUAUUUGCCAUGGAUGAAAUGGUAUACGGCUAGACUCUAAUGAAUUGUUACAUAGUGAUGCUUGGCGGUUGGUUGCUGUUAGCUCAUAUUUUCGACGCCCACCUUAAAUUAUCAAAAUUGGAAAAUACACACAACUGGUUUCGACCAAAAAGUAAUAUUCGAUCAGCUGGAGGUUAAUUGGCUUGGCUAGUUGGAUAAAGAUCAAACUCAUAGCUGAAAUUUCGGAGCAGUUCUUUAGAAAAGCGGUUAAAAAACGGUUUUCGAUCAAAGAUUCAAAAUUUAAAUAAAGGAGGGAAUUUCACCUUCGUCAGAAAUCGCAAGAGCACACGUGGAGCAGGAUGAACAUAUGCGCGCAUGCAGGGCGCCACGUGUAUCAACGUGAUUGAAGGACCAUCAAAGCGGUUAUUUCGAUCAUAUAGGGUCUUAGUGUUAGAAAAGUGUGUGUCAAAUUGUGUACAAAAUCUGUAAAUUUACGAAGUAUUCGUGUGAAGAAGAAUUGUAAAAUGCAGAAUGUACGUUGUCUACACCAUUAUUAUUUAUUUCAUAGCAAUAUAAAUUUGUCUUUA